This 490-nucleotide ribosomal RNA is filed under the name uncultured bacterium. Its description in RNAcentral is "partial 16S ribosomal RNA". It matches the Rfam family "Bacterial small subunit ribosomal RNA", at positions 30 to 507 of the family's 1533-position model. The record is from RNAcentral.
AUUGAACGCUGGCGGCAGGCCUAACACAUGCAAGUCGAACGGUAACAGGAAGAAGCUUGCUUCUUUGCUGACGAGUGGCGGACGGGUGAGUAAUGUCUGGGAAACUGCCUGAUGGAGGGGGAUAACUACUGGAAACGGCAGCUAAUACCGCAUAACGUCGCAAGACCAAAGAGGGGGACCUUCGGGCCUCUUGCCAUCGGAUGUGCCCAGAUGGGAUUAGCUAGUAGGUGGGGUAACGGCUCACCUAGGCGACGAUCCCUAGCUGGUCUGAGAGGAUGACCAGCCACACUGGAACUGAGACACGGUCCAGACUCCUACGGGAGGCAGCAGUGGGGAAUAUUGCACAAUGGGCGCAAGCCUGAUGCAGCCAUGCCGCGUGUAUGAAGAAGGCCUUCGGGUUGUAAAGUACUUUCAGCGGGGAGGAAGGGAGUAAAGUUAAUACCUUUGCUCAUUGACGUUACCCGCAGAAGAAGCACCGGCUAACUCCGUG